This 575-nucleotide ribosomal RNA is filed under the name Zoysia tenuifolia. RNAcentral's name for it is "eukaryotic LSU rRNA". The stretch from base 235 to 391 matches the Rfam family "5.8S ribosomal RNA". The record is from RNAcentral. Lineage: Eukaryota; Viridiplantae; Streptophyta; Magnoliopsida; Poales; Poaceae.
GGAAGGAUCAUGUCGUGACCUGACCAAAACAGACCGUGAACNUGUCAUCCAUGCUGUUGGGCGACGGGGCUCCACCUGUUUCUCAGCAGAGGUCUCNCGCACGCUUUGGCGUGUGAGGGAUCCCAACAGAACCCAGGGCACCGAUGGUGUCAAGGAACCCCAAACAUUGCUUUGAUCGAGGCUGUGGCUGGCUUGCCAGAUGCACCUCUUAAGGCGAUGCAAUCGUAGUCUCACGACUCUCGGCAACGGAUAUCUUGGCUCUCGCAUCGAUGAAGAACGUAGCAAAAUGCGAUACCUGGUGUGAAUUGCAGAAUCCUGUGAACCAUCGAGUUUUUGAACGCAAGUUGCGCCCGAGGCCUCCUGGGCUAAGGGCACGUCUGCCUGGGCGUCACGCCAAAAGACACUCCCCAACCAUUGCGGUGCAGGAUGUGGUGUUUGGCUCCCCGUGACGCAAAGCGCGGCGGGUCAAAGUUGGGGCAGCCGGCUAAAUAGGGGCCGGUCACAGCGAAAGGUGGACGGCACAUGUUGUUCUUGGAGUUGUGACCCGCGUCGUAACCGGUGACAUGAUGGCCCUC